This 2932-nucleotide ribosomal RNA is filed under the name Proteus mirabilis. RNAcentral's name for it is "23S ribosomal RNA". It matches the Rfam family "Bacterial large subunit ribosomal RNA". The record is from RNAcentral. Lineage: Bacteria; Pseudomonadati; Pseudomonadota; Gammaproteobacteria; Enterobacterales; Morganellaceae.
GGGUUGUGAGGUUAAGCGAAUAAGCGUACACGGUGGAUGCCUAGGCAAUCAGAGGCGAUGAAGGACGUGCUAAUCUGCGAAAAGCGUCGGUAAGGUGAUAUGAACCGUUAUACCCGACGAUAUCCGAAUGGGGAAACCCAGUAUCCAAUGGAUACUAUCAUUAACUGAAUCCAUAGGUUAAUGAGGCGAACCGGGAGAACUGAAACAUCUCAGUACCCCGAGGAAAAGAAAUCAACCGAGAUUCCCCUAGUAGCGGCGAGCGAACGGGGAGCAGCCCAGAGUCUUAAUCAAUAGCAGUGUCAGGAGAACGGUCUGGAAAGUCCGGCAGUAAAGGGUGAUAGCCCCGUAUCUGAAGAUGCUGUUAUUGUGAACUCGACGAGUAGGGCGGGACACGUGUUAUCCUGUCUGAAUAUGGGGGGACCAUCCUCCAAGGCUAAAUACUCCUGAUUGACCGAUAGUGAACCAGUACCGUGAGGGAAAGGCGAAAAGAACCCCGGCGAGGGGAGUGAAAAAGAACCUGAAACCGUGUACGUACAAGCAGUAGGAGCCUCUUUAUGGGGUGACUGCGUACCUUUUGUAUAAUGGGUCAGCGACUUAUAUUCUGUAGCGAGGUUAACCGUAUAGGGGAGCCGUAGGGAAACCGAGUCUUAACUGGGCGAAUGAGUUGCAGGGUAUAGACCCGAAACCCGGUGAUCUAUCCAUGGGCAGGUUGAAGGUUGGGUAACACUAACUGGAGGACCGAACCGACUAAUGUUGAAAAAUUAGCGGAUGACUUGUGGAUGGGGGUGAAAGGCCAAUCAAACCGGGAGAUAGCUGGUUCUCCCCGAAAGCUAUUUAGGUAGCGCCUCGUGAAUUCAUCUUCGGGGGUAGAGCACUGUUUCGACUAGGGGGUCAUCCCGACUUACCAACUCGAUGCAAACUGCGAAUACCGAAGAAUGUUAUCACGGGAGACACACGGCGGGUGCUAACGUCCGUCGUGAAGAGGGAAACAACCCAGACCGCCAGCUAAGGUCCCAAAGUCAUGGUUAAGUGGGAAACGAAGUGGGAAGGCUCAGACAGCCAGGAUGUUGGCUUAGAAGCAGCCAUCAUUUAAAGAAAGCGUAAUAGCUCACUGGUCGAGUCGGCCCGCGCGGAAGAUGUAACGGGGCUAAACCAUGCACCGAAGCUGCGGCAGCGACACAAAGUGUUGUUGGGUAGGGGAGCGUUCUGUAAGCCUGCGAAGGUGUACUGUGAGGUAUGCUGGAGGUAUCAGAAGUGCGAAUGCUGACAUAAGUAACGAUAAUGCGGGUGAAAAACCCGCACGCCGGAAGACCAAGGGUUCCUGUCCAACGUUAAUCGGGGCAGGGUGAGUCGACCCCUAAGGCGAGGCUGAAAAGCGUAGUCGAUGGGAAACGGGUUAAUAUUCCCGUACUGGUGGUAACUGCGAUGGGGGAACGGAGAAGGCUAGGUUGUCCGGGCGACGGUCGUCCCGGUUCAAGCAGGUAGGCAGAGUGAUUAGGCAAAUCCGGUCACUUAAUGCUGAGAUGUGAUGACGAACCACCAAGGUGGUGAAGCAAUUGAUGCCCCGCUUCCAGGAAAAGCCUCUAAGCUUCAGGUUACCAACAAUCGUACCCCAAACCGACACAGGUGGUCAGGUAGAGAAUACUCAGGCGCUUGAGAGAACUCGGGUGAAGGAACUAGGCAAAAUGGUGCCGUAACUUCGGGAGAAGGCACGCUGGCGGUAGGUAAAGUCCCUCGCGGACAGAGCUGAAGCCAGUCGAAGAUACCAGCUGGCUGCAACUGUUUAUUAAAAACACAGCACUGUGCAAACACGAAAGUGGACGUAUACGGUGUGACGCCUGCCCGGUGCUGGAAGGUUAAUUGAUGGGGUCAGCCGUAAGGCGAAGCUCCUGAUCGAAGCCCCAGUAAACGGCGGCCGUAACUAUAACGGUCCUAAGGUAGCGAAAUUCCUUGUCGGGUAAGUUCCGACCUGCACGAAUGGCGUAAUGAUGGCCAGGCUGUCUCCACCCGAGACUCAGUGAAAUUGAACUCGCUGUGAAGAUGCAGUGUACCCGCGGCAAGACGGAAAGACCCCGUGAACCUUUACUAUAGCUUGACACUGAACAUUGAGCCUUGAUGUGUAGGAUAGGUGGGAGGCUUUGAAGUGUGGACGCCAGUCUGCAUGGAGCCAACCUUGAAAUACCACCCUUUAACGUUUGAUGUUCUAACCUAGGCCCAUAAACUGGGUCGGGGACCGUGUCUGGUGGGUAGUUUGACUGGGGCGGUCUCCUCCUAAAGAGUAACGGAGGAGCACGAAGGUUGGCUAAGCAUGGUCGGACAUCAUGCGGUUAGUGCAAAGGCAUAAGCCAGCUUGACUGCGAGAGUGACGGCUCGAGCAGGUACGAAAGUAGGUCUUAGUGAUCCGGUGGUUCUGAAUGGAAGGGCCAUCGCUCAACGGAUAAAAGGUACUCCGGGGAUAACAGGCUGAUACCGCCCAAGAGUUCAUAUCGACGGCGGUGUUUGGCACCUCGAUGUCGGCUCAUCACAUCCUGGGGCUGAAGUAGGUCCCAAGGGUAUGGCUGUUCGCCAUUUAAAGUGGUACGCGAGCUGGGUUUAGAACGUCGUGAGACAGUUCGGUCCCUAUCUGCCGUGGGCGUUGGAAGAUUGAGAGGGGUUGCUCCUAGUACGAGAGGACCGGAGUGAACGCACCACUGGUGUUCGGGUUGUCAUGCCAAUGGCAUUGCCCGGUAGCUAAGUGCGGAAGAGAUAACCGCUGAAAGCAUCUAAGCGGGAAACUUGCCUCGAGAUGAGUCUUCCCUGUCACUUUAAGUGACCUAAAGGAACGUUUAAGACUAAGACGUUGAUAGGCUGGGUGUGUAAGCGUAGCGAUACGUUGAGCUAACCAGUACUAAUGAACCGUGAGGCUUAACCUGACAACACCGAAAGUGUUUUG